GAGCUGUAGUGGUGAUCAGAGAGUGUUCAGUCCUUUAACACACACUGACACACAGCACAAUGAUGAUGUCACUCAUUCUACUGCUGGGGACACUGGGACUCCUCACUCAGGAAUCAUUUGGGGAAAUAAUCCUGACUCAGACUCCAGGAUCUCAGUCUCUUACAGCAGGACAGACUGUUUCUAUCAGCUGCAGGGCCAGUGAGAGUGUUAGCAAUUAUCUCAACUGGUACCUACAGAAACCUGGAGAAGCUCCUAAACUCCUGAUCUAUGCUGCAUCACACCGUCAGUCUGGGAUUCCAGCUCGUUUCAGUGGUAGUGGAUCUGGUACAGAAUUUACUCUAAAAAUCACUGGAGUCCAGGCUGAAGAUGCAGGAGAUUACUACUGUCAGCAGGGUUACAGCACUCCAUUCACACAGUGUUAGAGCGCCAUACAAAAACCUCCCUCAGCUGUAGAGGAACUGCUCUGAAUCAAACACAGACUGAUCUGAGAUCAACUGCAGAUCUUGCUAAAUCUGCACUCAACUCAAAUCAUCAACUCCAAAACACUACAGUACUGAACCGUUUGCUCUUUUAAAUUGUCAUCAUUGUGUAAUAGAUAUCUACAUCUCUACAUAUGUAGCAAGUUAAUGUCUUUCCUUUAAACCAACCCCUGAUAACGUCCUGCUUCCACACUGUGUCAUAUGUAUGUGUGUGUGGAUCUCUGUUCUCUCCAGUUAGUUUCCCCAGACCCAGUCCAGAGUUCCUCUACAGAUCUUCAUACUCACUGUCCAGCCCUGAAACAAGGCCCUGCCCAGAGGAGGGAUAUAAGGAAGUGUUUGGAGGAAGAAGAAAGAGAAAGAUGAUAUUUUGGACAUCUGGUUGUUCGAGUGAUAGUUUUGAUAUUUGAUUCAGUGCUUGGCUUAUUUUCCCACUUACUUUUGAUUCUGAGCUUGUUUGAUCCCUCUAACUUGGCCACUGUUGUAAAUUUGUAUAUAGUGUGUAUGUAUUUGUGUGCUCUGGAAAGCAGGGAAGGGCUGCCGUUGAGUUUGGGCCCUGGGUUAUUUUGUCUGUGUUAUCACUUAGGGAGUUAAUGUAGUCUUAUCUUAGUAUAGGAUAUUAUCAGAGCAUGGUUGUGAUCCAUCAGCCUGUGGGUUAUGGUCCCAGCACACUUCCACUGCACCACUCUGCUCUCCUGCUAAUAGAGAAAUAAUAAAAUACCUACAAACUCAC
Non-coding RNA from Electrophorus electricus (electric eel), 1209 nucleotides. The record is from the annotation of a RefSeq genome assembly. Lineage: Eukaryota; Metazoa; Chordata; Actinopteri; Gymnotiformes; Gymnotidae.